This 465-nucleotide ribosomal RNA is filed under the name uncultured bacterium. RNAcentral describes it as "partial 16S ribosomal RNA". It matches the Rfam family "Bacterial small subunit ribosomal RNA", at positions 28 to 507 of the family's 1533-position model. The record is from RNAcentral.
GAUGAACGCUGGCGGCGUGCUUAACACAUGCAAGUCGAACGGAGAGGCCUCUGCUUGCAGGGGUUCUCGAGUGGCUAACGGGUGAGUAACACGUGGGUGAUCUGCCCUGCACUUCGGGAUAAGCCUUGGUAACUGGGUCUAAUACCGGAUAGUACAAUGGUUUGGAUGCCGUUGUGGAACGUUUUUCGGUAUGGGAUGAGAUCUGGGCCUAUCAGCUUGUUGGUGGGGUAAUGGCCUACCAAGCCUUCGACGGGUAGCCGGCCUGAGAGGGUGUACGGCCACAAGGGGACUGAGAGACGGAGCAGAGGGGAACGGGAGGCAGCAGGGGGGAGUAUGGUACAGUGGGGGCAAGUGUGAGAAGGAGACGUCGGGGGGGUGAAGAAGGCCUACGGGUGAGAAACGGAUUAAGGUAGAGACGAAGCGCAAGUGACGGUACCUGGAGAAGAAGCACCGGCUAACUACGUG